ACGUAGGUCCCAAGCGUUAUCCGGAAUUAUUGGGCGUAAAGGGUCCGUAGACGGUUUAUUAAGUCUGGUGUGAAAUAUGAUGGCUCAACCAUCAAAACGCAUCAGAUACUGGUGAACUAGAGUAUGUUAGAGGAUAGUGGAAUUCCAUGUGUAGCGGUGAAAUGCGUAGAUAUAUGGAGGAACACCAGUGGCGAAGGCGGCUAUCUGGGACAUUACUGACGUUGAGGGACGAAAGCGUGGGGAGCGAACAGG
This 252-nucleotide ribosomal RNA is filed under the name uncultured bacterium. RNAcentral's name for it is "partial 16S ribosomal RNA". It matches the Rfam family "Bacterial small subunit ribosomal RNA", at positions 525 to 776 of the family's 1533-position model. The record is from RNAcentral.